Molecule: ribosomal RNA, 137 nt
Filed under: uncultured bacterium
Lineage: Bacteria
Description: partial 16S ribosomal RNA
Rfam family: Bacterial small subunit ribosomal RNA
Source: RNAcentral
CAGCCUGCCGCGUGUGUGAAGAAGGUCUUCGGAUUGUAAAGCACUUUAAGUUGGGAGGAAGGGCAGUAAAUUAAUACUUUGCUGUUUUGACGUUACCGACAGAAUAAGCACCGGCUAACUCUAGUGCCAGCAGCCGG